GGAUUGCCCUAGUAACGGCGAGUGAAGCGGCAACAGCUCAAAUUUGAAAUCUGGCCUCGGCCCGAGUUGUAAUUUGCAGAGGAUGCUUUUGGCGAGGCGCCUUCCGAGUUCCCUGGAACGGGACGCCAUAGAGGGUGAGAGCCCCGUACGGUUGGACGCCGAGCCUCUGUAAAGCUCCUUCGACGAGUCGAGUAGUUUGGGAAUGCUGCUCAAAACGGGAGGUAAAUUUCUUCUAAAGCUAAAUACCGGCCAAAGACCGAUAGCGCACAAGUAGAGUGAUCGAAAGAUGAAAAGCACUUUGAAAAGAGGGUUAAACAGCACGUGAAAUUGUUGAAAGGGAAGCGCUCGUGACCAGACUUGCGCCCUGCGGAUCAGCCGGCGUUCUCGCCGGUGUCUCUGCAGGGUCCAGGCCAGCAUCGGUCUCCGCGGGGGGAUAAAGGCUUAGGGAACGUGGCUCCCCCGGGAGUGUUAUAGCCCUCUGCAGAAUACCGCCGUGGGGACCGAGGACCGCGCUUCGGCAAGGAUGCUGGCGUAAUGGUCACCAGCGACCCGUCUUGAAACACGGACCAAGGAGUCAAGCAUUAGGGCGAGUGUCUGGGUGUAAAACCCGCACGCGAAAUGAAAGUGAACGUUGGUGAGAGCUUCGGCGCAUCAUCGACCGAUCCAGAUGUUCUCGGAUGGAUUUGAGUAAGAGCCUUACCGCUUGGACCCGAAAGUUGAUGAACUAUGCCUGUAUAGGGUGAAGCCAGAGGAAACUCUGGUGGAGGCUCGCAGCGGUUCUGACGUGCAAAUCGAUCGUCAAAUAUGGGCAUGGGGGCGAAAGACUAAUCGAAUCAACUAGUAGCU
RNAcentral lists this ribosomal RNA (846 nucleotides) under Xylolentia sp. Its description in RNAcentral is "partial large subunit ribosomal RNA". It matches the Rfam family "Eukaryotic large subunit ribosomal RNA", at positions 72 to 952 of the family's 3401-position model. The record is from RNAcentral. Lineage: Eukaryota; Fungi; Ascomycota; Sordariomycetes; Rhamphoriaceae.